GAUGAACGCUGGCGGCGUGCUUAACACAUGCAAGUCGAACGGGAAACCUUUUAUUGAAGCUUCGGCAGAUUUAGCUGGUUUCUAGUGGCGGACGGGUGAGUAACGCGUGGGUAACCUGCCUUAUACAGGGGGAUAACAACCAGAAAUGGUUGCUAAUACCGCAUAAGCGCACAGGACCGCAUGGUCCGGUGUGAGAAACUCCGGUGGUAUAAGAUGGACCCGCGUUGGAUUAGCUAGUUGGCAGGGUAACGGCCUACCAAGGCGACGAUCCAUAGCCGGCCUGAGAGGGUGAACGGCCACAUUGGGACUGAGACACGGCCCAGACUCCUACGGGAGGCAGCAGUGGGGAAUAUUGCACAAUGGGGGAAACCCUGAUGCAGCGACGCCGCGUGAAGGAAGAAGUAUCUCGGUAUGUAAACUUCUAUCAGCAGGGAGGAUAGUGACGG
RNAcentral lists this ribosomal RNA (446 nucleotides) under uncultured bacterium. RNAcentral's name for it is "bacterial SSU rRNA". It matches the Rfam family "Bacterial small subunit ribosomal RNA", at positions 28 to 457 of the family's 1533-position model. The record is from RNAcentral.